This 123-nucleotide microRNA precursor is filed under the name Gossypium hirsutum (cotton). Its description in RNAcentral is "MIR7504 microRNA precursor family". It matches the Rfam family "MIR7504 microRNA precursor family". Lineage: Eukaryota; Viridiplantae; Streptophyta; Magnoliopsida; Malvales; Malvaceae. The record is from Rfam by way of RNAcentral.
AAUAGGAGAAUGACAAAUCAAAUUUUUCCUCUUGAUUUUCAGCCUUUUCUUCCUGAAAAAUUCAAAUCCAACUGAAAAUGUUAAAAAUUAGAAAGAAAAAAUUUGAUUUAUCAUUCUUCUAUU